RNAcentral lists this ribosomal RNA (253 nucleotides) under uncultured bacterium. RNAcentral describes it as "partial 16S ribosomal RNA". It matches the Rfam family "Bacterial small subunit ribosomal RNA", at positions 524 to 776 of the family's 1533-position model. The record is from RNAcentral.
UACGAAGGGGACUAGCGUUGUUCGGAAUUACUGGGCGUAAAGCGCACGUAGGCGGAUUUGUAAGUCAGGGGUGAAAUCCCGGGGCUCAACCUCGGAACUGCCUUUGAUACUGGCAAUCUUGAGGCUGGAAGAGGUUGGUAGAAUUCCCAGUGUAGAGGUGAAAUUCGUAGAGAUUUGGAGGAACACCAGUGGCGAAGGCGACUUUCUGGACUGUAACUGACGCUGAGGCUCGAGAGCGUGGGGAGCAAACAGG